AUGUGGAAGUGAGAAUCCAUUGAAGUAUUUAGUUAAACUGAGGGAUGCAGUAAAUGCUCUAAGGCCAGGUCUCUUUAUGAAGUAGCUGGACACAAGGGAAAGUGACUCAUUAAUGCAGCUUUGCGACAAAGUACAAAUACAGUAGUGAAGAGAUCCUGGUAUGUCCACCUGGUCAGUUGCUCCCAGUGGGGGUAUCUGACCGUCUCCUUCUCAGUGUGUUUUGUCUGUCUAUGAUAUCCUUAUCAAUAGCUUAUGUAGGAUUGCCUCGUUCCCUCCAAAAUUUUAAAGUCUGCUCAUACAGAAUGCACAAGGAAGGCUGAGAAGGAGGGGAUACCUUCAAGGGCUGUGGUCUUUCGGCUUUUCAAGUCAUUAUUCAUAAAUAGUGAUGUCGCGAACCGUUCGC
Pelobates cultripes (western spadefoot toad) is the source of this 403-nucleotide non-coding RNA. The record is from the annotation of a GenBank genome assembly. Lineage: Eukaryota; Metazoa; Chordata; Amphibia; Anura; Pelobatidae.